GAAAUGCGAUAAGUAAUGUGAAUUGCAGAAUUCAGUGAAUCAUCGAAUCUUUGAACGCACAUUGCGCCCGGCAGCAAUCUGCCGGGCAUGCCUGUCCGAGCGUCAUUUCUUCCCUCGAGCGCGGCUAGCCCUACGGGGCCUGCCGUCGCCCGGUGUUGGGGCUCUACGGGUGGGGCUCGUCCCCCCCGCAGUCCCCGAAAUGUAGUGGCGGUCCAGCCGCGGCGCCCCCUGCGUAGUAGAUCCUACAUCUCGCAUCGGGUCCCGGCGAAGGCCAGCCGUCGAACCUUUUAUUUCAUGGUUUGACCUCGGAUCAGGUAGGGUUACCCGCUGAACUUAA
Molecule: unclassified non-coding RNA, 337 nt
Filed under: compost metagenome
Also listed under: 1 other name
Description: partial contains 5.8S ribosomal RNA, internal transcribed spacer 2, and large subunit ribosomal RNA
Rfam family: 5.8S ribosomal RNA (bases 1-105)
Source: RNAcentral